Podarcis lilfordi (Lilford's wall lizard) is the source of this 74-nucleotide non-coding RNA. The record is from the annotation of a GenBank genome assembly. NCBI's taxonomy places the organism in Eukaryota, Metazoa, Chordata, Lepidosauria, Squamata, Lacertidae.
UCCUGGAUAGCUCAGUUGGUAGAGGAUGAGACUCUUUAAUCUCAGGGUUGUGGGUUCAAGCACCAUGUUGGGCA